CCUACGGGGGGCUGCAGUGGGGAAUAUUGGACAAUGGGGGCAACCCUGAUCCAGCAAUGCCGCGUGAGUGAUGAAGGCCUUAGGGUUGUAAAGCUCUUUUACCAGGGAAGAUGAUGACUGUACCUGGAGAAUAAGCCCCGGCUAACUUCGUGCCAGCAGCCGCGGUAAUACGAAGGGGGCUAGCGUUGUUCGGAAUUACUGGGCGUAAAGGGCGCGUAGGCGGCCGUUUAAGUUAGGUGUGAAAGUCCUGGGCUCAACCUGGGGACUGCACUUAAUACUGGAUGGCUUGAAUUCGGGAGAGGAUAGCGGAAUUCCCAGUGUAGAGGUGAAAUUCGUAGAUAUUGGGAAGAACACCGGUGGCGAAGGCGGCUAUCUGGACCGACAUUGACGCUGAGGCGCGAAAGCGUGGGGAGCAAACAGGAUUAGAUACCCUGGUAGUC
RNAcentral lists this ribosomal RNA (440 nucleotides) under uncultured Dongia sp. RNAcentral describes it as "bacterial SSU rRNA". It matches the Rfam family "Bacterial small subunit ribosomal RNA", at positions 338 to 795 of the family's 1533-position model. The record is from RNAcentral. Lineage: Bacteria; Pseudomonadati; Pseudomonadota; Alphaproteobacteria; Rhodospirillales; Dongiaceae.